GAUGAACGCUGGCGGUAUGCUUAACACAUGCAAGUCGAACGGACCCUUCGGAGUUAGUGGCGGACGGGUGAGUAACGCGUGAGAAUCUGGCUUUGGGUUCGGGACAACCACUGGAAACGGUGGCUAAUACCGGAUGUGCCGAGAGGUAAAAGAGAAAUUGCCUGAAGAUGAGCUCGCGUCUGAUUAGCUAGUUGGUGAGGUAAAGGCUCACCAAGGCAGCGAUCAGUAGCUGGUCUGAGAGGAUGACCAGCCACACUGGGACUGAGACACGGCCCAGACUCCUACGGGAGGCAGCAGUGGAGAAUUUUCCGCAAUGGGCGAAAGCCUGACGGAGCAAUACCGCGUGAGGGAAGAAGGCUCUUGGGUUGUAAACCUCUUUUCUUAGGGAAGAACAAAAUGACGGUACCUAAGGAAUCAGCAUCGGCUAACUCCGUG
This 435-nucleotide ribosomal RNA is filed under the name uncultured bacterium. RNAcentral describes it as "partial 16S ribosomal RNA". It matches the Rfam family "Bacterial small subunit ribosomal RNA", at positions 28 to 507 of the family's 1533-position model. The record is from RNAcentral.